Molecule: ribosomal RNA, 417 nt
Filed under: Triticum aestivum (bread wheat)
Lineage: Eukaryota; Viridiplantae; Streptophyta; Magnoliopsida; Poales; Poaceae
Description: partial small subunit ribosomal RNA
Source: RNAcentral
AUGAUUGUACACCUCCUAUUCCCGCUUAAUUGUGUGUUCAUUUUGUUAAUCAAGAAGCAUCUGAUUUUAUGGCUGGCGUGCUGCUCCAGCGCGACUGCUUCGUGUGCUGCCUCGAGUCGCGCCGCCACUAUGCCUGCGCCAAGACGGAGGCCGCUGCCACUCUCGACGCCCUUUGCUGCGCGCUCUCGCCGGCGGCGUUCACAAAGCCUUGUCGCGGCGCUGCAAGUGUUGCCCCCCCUCCUCCCCAAGGGCAAGGUGAAGGAAGGUGCCUGUGUGGUUUUUUUGCACCUUGCAGCGAGGAUUGUUGUAUCCAACCUGCGCAAAAAUGCCAAGAAGUCCUUCUCGGAGACGAUUAAGGACAUGUACCCGCACUACAACGAGAGAUCUGGACUGCUUCUUUGUGGCUUUCAAACUUGA